CCGCGGACUCCGUGCCGUCCAGACCCCUCCUCACUCGGGACGAAAGCGAACGCAAAAGCAGGUCGGCUGUUCUAAAGGAGACGGGGCUAAACUCGGAAGGUACAGAAGAGCGUGUCCUGGGGAGUCGGGACAAAGGAUUUCUUCCUGUUCUCAGCUCUACUACAAGCUCUGGACACAGGAUGAAUUGGGGGCUCUUUUGAAAGCUGUCUUCAGACAAAGGCCAUCUUCCAGUUGUCUGCAAGCUCAGACUCUGCUGAUCAGGAGGAAUCCCUUCAUCGUCCUGGAUCUUGGGAUCUGCUCUUUCUCUUGGAUCGAGAAUUCAGCCUCCAGAGUCAUGGUAUUCCUCGUAAGGGUUUAUAUGAAAAUCCUCCCCUUGGCAGUGCCUCCAUCUGAUGUUGAGUGAAAGGAAGAGACAGGUCAGUCCUGGGAUGCAGCACGAAGGGGGACAUGGAGCUUGCUGGCCAAAGUGCUGGACAGAAUUUUUAUGAAGUUCUUCUUACAGACUACUAGACAUUUACAUCUGGAAGAACAAUAGCAUUAUCUCACUGUUCCGGGAGUACUAAUGAACGAAGAUCGGGUACAGAUACAUGCUCACAGCACUCUGGGAGGCUGAGCUUUCUGAACAAACAGGAAGUGCAGGAAACCAGUGUGGCUCCCUCUCCGGGAGAAGCCCAGCUGUCUUCGGCCUCAUCUAGGCUUUCAGACGGCAGCAGACAGCACCCCACAGAGGGGACAGGGGACCCAACCCCAGUACUGAGCUCUGGGCUUCGAAGUCUACCGUUGUGGAUGUUGACAGGGUUGUGCAUGUGCGGACUUACCAAAUCCUCAC
Lutra lutra (Eurasian river otter) is the source of this 829-nucleotide long non-coding RNA. RefSeq lists it as uncharacterized. The record is from RefSeq and is a predicted model, not a curated record. NCBI's taxonomy places the organism in Eukaryota, Metazoa, Chordata, Mammalia, Carnivora, Mustelidae. The transcript is spliced from 3 exons.